GAGCAAGAGGCCUCAAGCGUUAGGGCGGAAAGUCACUGGGCUUAAAGCGUGUGUAGGCGGAUCGUUAAGUGUCUUGUGAAAUCCCACGGCUCACCCGUGGAACGGCUGGGCAUACUGGCGAUCAUUGGGGCCAACUAGGGGCAACUGGAACAAGCGGGUGGAAGCGGUGAAAUGCGUAGAUAAUCGGCUUGGAACGCCGAAGGUGAAAACAGGGUUGCUGGGGUUGUGCCGACGCUGAGACACGAAGACCAGGGGAGCAAACGGG
This 265-nucleotide ribosomal RNA is filed under the name uncultured bacterium. Its description in RNAcentral is "partial 16S ribosomal RNA". The stretch from base 31 to 265 matches the Rfam family "Bacterial small subunit ribosomal RNA", at positions 549 to 776 of the family's 1533-position model. The record is from RNAcentral.